GUGCUCACUUCGGCAGCAUAUAUACUAAAAUUGGAAUGAUACAGAGAAGAUUAGCAUGGCCCCUGCACAAGGAUGACACACAAAUUCGUGAAGCAUUCCAUAUUAAA
This 107-nucleotide small nuclear RNA is filed under the name Neogale vison (American mink). The record is from RNAcentral. Lineage: Eukaryota; Metazoa; Chordata; Mammalia; Carnivora; Mustelidae.